GACGAACGCUGGCGGCGUGCUUAACACAUGCAAGUCGAGCGGUAAGGCCCUUUCGGGGGUACGACGAGCGGCGAACGGGUGAGUAACACGUGGGUGACCUGCCCUCAGCUCUGGGAUAAGCCCGGGAAACGUAGGGUCUAAUACCGGAUAUGACUCCAUGACGCAUGUUGUGGGGUGGAAAGCCUUGUGCGGCUGAGGAUGGGCCCGCGGCCUAUCAGCUUGUUGGUGGGGUGAUGGCCUACCAAGGCGACGACGGGUAGCCGGCCUGAGAGGGCGACCGGCCACACUGGGACUGAGAUACGGCCCAGACUCCUACGGGAGGCAGCAGUGGGGAAUCUUGCGCAAUGGGCGAAAGCCUGACGCAGCGACGCCGCGUGAGGGAUGACGGCCU
RNAcentral lists this ribosomal RNA (391 nucleotides) under uncultured bacterium. Its description in RNAcentral is "bacterial SSU rRNA". It matches the Rfam family "Bacterial small subunit ribosomal RNA", at positions 28 to 417 of the family's 1533-position model. The record is from RNAcentral.